Molecule: long non-coding RNA, 2971 nt
Organism: Gallus gallus (chicken)
Lineage: Eukaryota; Metazoa; Chordata; Aves; Galliformes; Phasianidae
Exons: 3
Source: RefSeq, a predicted model, not a curated record
ACCCUGGCCCCAGGCACUGAUGGAGCAGAGCGGCAGGAGCACAUCAGGCACAGUGGUACUCCAUGAGGUCCACGAGGUUCUGAGGUCCAGAAGGUCCAAGAGGUGCUGAGGUCCGCCUGGGAAUCUGAUGGCCUUGGGCACAGAAGAACCUUGGGCACAGCUGUGAUUAGAGCUUGCAUUCCAGGUCACUCAUACACCAAAUGCAGAAUGCUGACAAUUACACCAUGAAACGAUCCAUCCCUUGAACAGAGGGCUGAGGAAGUGAGGGUUUUGCUGUUUCUUGCUUUAUUCUUUGCUUGGCUUUUCUCUCGGGUGCUGGUGAUGGACGCCAGAGCCAUACUUGCUCGGUGCUCUCCCUGCACGCCCUGUAAGUACUGAGCUGGGAGCUGAUAAUUCUGUGGCUCAGCAAUCCUUGUAUGAACAGAGAACCUGAAAAAGGCCCCGAUAAAGGAGGAUUGCACUGAGCCGUGGCCACGCACACGGCAGCGAGGAGACGCAGCCGCUCACAUCUCCCAGAUAAAGAAGCUCUCCAGGUGAGGAGAGAGGAUUUUCCCCCAGCACUUCUUAAGGUUGUGCCGCUCUGAUAAAGGCUCAGAUGUGCCUGGGCUGCCCGACAUCCCAUUCUGUGGUGCAAAAGGAAAGAUGAGUUUCUAUGAGUGUGUGACCACACACUUCACACGCUGGAAGGACUGAUUUUUCCACUUUAUAGAUACGUUUUUACGACACUGUAUUCUUAUAAAGGGAGGAGUGCUCAGGAAUACGAUGCUCUGCAUUGCGGAAUGCAAUUCACUUUUUAAUAAAGCUCAAGCAGAAGUCAAUACAUCGCUGAGAAUUCCUUUUCGAUGUGAUAGUAAUUAAAGCUGUAUAUUACUAGAAUCAUUACCACUUUCAUACGCUCUCAUGUUUAUUUAUACAGUUGAUGCUGGAUCUUUGUUCUCACACCAACAGCCUCGGGAAUCAUUUUGGUUUCUCCCUCCUCACCUCUUUGCCCUCCCUCCCUUUCUCUCGGCUGAGAAAUGCACAAAAAAUGUUGACUAAGCCUCAGAAAUUGAACAAGAUUUCAACCUUAUUAGGACUAAUUCAUUUAGCUAUGCAUAUUUGGUAAAUUUACCUUCAACUAAGCGUGCGGAAAUAAAUGGCUCAUUAAGAAUGAUGAAUAUUUAUGUUUUUCCACUUCCCACUUCUUGCAUAGGAAGGCUUUGUUACAUAACAAAGGAGGAACACCUAAGGAGAGAAGGACCACAUCUACAAUAACGCAAAUGCAAUUUGCAGAGCACUGAAAGGUUUGGCUAAUAGAAACAUCACAAAUCAUCCUAAUUCCCUUUUAAAUUGCACAUCUAUGGUACUUUUAAGACCGCAUAGGCAGGAAAGUAAGAUGGGGCGAAUUUGGACGUGAGUUCUUCUACCACAGUCGGUAGCAACCUUGGCCAGAAGAACCAUCCCAUCAUCUGUAAUGUCUUUUGUUCAUCAUCAGACUGCGUGCAGAGCAUCUCUCUCAUCCCCUGCUCUAAACCAAAGAUCCAUCGUGCCCAUCUGUUCUGUUGCUCUGAAAUCUGGAGCGUCUCCUGCACGGACUUCCAGGGUUUAUCAUAAAAAGCAACUUCAGUUUCCAUCCUAGGGCACAACCUCAAGGGGAAAAAAACGUGGAAAGGAAACUUACAAUUAAGACAAAGCAGGUCAGAUCUGCUCCAGAGCCAUAACCUUCUGCUUGAGUGCCUCGCUGUGUCUCACCCAGGUAAUCAUCCAGGAAAAGGACAGAUGAGCAAAUGUAUUUGUGGAAUGGAGUAUUGUUUACCAUCUGGUAUGCAUUGUUUGAAUCCUGUUAAAUUUCUUACAAAGAACAUGUAUAUUCUUCUUAAAGGUAGAAAGCUUUUAAGCUUGUCCUUAAUGUUAAUGCAAAUCUAGCAGAAGACUUCUACACUUUAAAGCUGAUGUGAAAGAGAAAAUGCUUAAGCCUUCCUGUUACUGCUUUGAUCAGAGCCAGGCCUUCAAAACUGUCACUGUGAAACGAGCACUUCUUUCUUAGUAAAGAGAAACCCUGAUAUGUGGAACAGCGUCAUUCAGAGGCAAGCAGCUGAGGGGUGCCAUUCCAGAGAAGGAGAUUAAAGAUCAUAACUAAUUUGAGGAAGUUUGAAUAGGAUCGAGUACGCAUACGAAGCAAUGUUUUAAUUUACUAGAAGCAGAGUAGUGCAGCUCUGGGAAAACUUGUCAGCAUGGGCACAGACUGUGUUCUGCUCCAUACACUUCCAUUUUCCAAGCUUCUCCUUAAGGACACAGUAUUCACCGAGAAAUGCCAUCGAUCAAAGAAAUAAGAAGCAGACUGUGCUCUAAGGACUGCAGCUUUCUUCAGUAACCUUUAGUCUCGUCCCCACCACCAGAGCUAUCAAAGCAUCCUUCCUUGAGCAGUUGGUCCAGCUUGCUUCCUUUGUCCACUGGGGGAAAUCUCGGAGGCUGCCUCAGCCAACAGCUGAGAGCCACAAAAUCAUUAGCGACGCUGGAUUAAAAUAAUUCUUACUGCAUUGAAUUAAAAGCAGUGUUGAGGUGUAGGAGACAGCAUCUGAGAUGAAGUUAUGAAUCGUGUGUCUGGAUGUCACGAAUCGUCACGACAGCUUGCAUUUUUUCCCACCAACAAUGAAAGUGUCUGUUUUCUCCCUGCUCUCAGGUUGGAAAGGUCACUAAGAAAUCUGCCUGAGCCACAUUAUCCCUUUCAUUUAUUUCCUCAUUUGUGCUGGAGACACACGGGCUCAUGAGCAGAAACGUAGUUUAGGAGGACUGCAAUGACAACAAGGAGGGACCAGACGUUUUGUGCAUUCAUUUGUCUUGCAGCAGCUACAAUUCUCCCCCAGCAAUCGCAUUUCACAGCACUGCUGCCCUCCAUAGCAAUGAUAAUGCCUGUCAGAGGGCAGGAUUUUCUCCUGCCUCGUGAACUGAGGUGUUUCUUGACCCUAAUAUUCAAAAGCGACCACUUCUA